This 253-nucleotide ribosomal RNA is filed under the name uncultured bacterium. RNAcentral's name for it is "partial 16S ribosomal RNA". It matches the Rfam family "Bacterial small subunit ribosomal RNA", at positions 524 to 776 of the family's 1533-position model. The record is from RNAcentral.
UACGUAGGGGGCUAGCGUUGUCCGGAAUCAUUGGGCGUAAAGCGCGCGUAGGCGGUCAGGUAAGUCCGGUGUGAAAGUCAAAGGCUCAACCUUUGAAUGCCGCUGGAUACUGCCUGACUUGAGUCCGGAAGGGGCGAGUGGAAUUCCUGGUGUAGCGGUGAAAUGCGCAGAUAUCAGGAGGAACACCAAUGGCGAAGGCGACUACCUGGCCUGUUCUUGACGCUGAGGCGCGAAAGCUAGGGGAGCAAACGGG